This is a long non-coding RNA of Eubalaena glacialis (North Atlantic right whale), 1743 nucleotides long. RefSeq lists it as uncharacterized. NCBI's taxonomy places the organism in Eukaryota, Metazoa, Chordata, Mammalia, Artiodactyla, Balaenidae. The transcript is spliced from 3 exons. The record is from RefSeq and is a predicted model, not a curated record.
GGUGAGCCUCAGCCGCCCCCCACCUCUGCAGGAGACCCUCCAAGAACAGCAGGUCCCAUGGGGUGGCCAGAGCUGGCCGUCCCCUGUGCAGAGGCCCCCUGGGUGGCGUGCAGACCUGAAGGACGGCCCCCUCCCCGAGGCCCGCACUCCUCCUACAGCCCGAGCCUCAAGGGGUUGACUGUGGGCAGUGUCCUCCUUUCUGGGCUGUUCCUGCCUCCUGGGGGCACCCACGGAGCACAGACUCCUGCUGAGGGCCAUCACACGGCAGGUGCCCCAUGGCCUUGGGGCUGCCCCCAGAUCCAGGAUGGGGUGACACAGCUUGCCUCAUCUUGGUGGGGCAGGAAGAGGGACGAUGGAGCACCAGGCCAGCCCAGCGGGGGAGAGCAGGAGGACCUGGUGGCGUGGCCACGGCUAAAUGCAGGGAAGCUGGGAAAUGAGCCAGGUGCCCACAGCAGAGGAAGGGCACAGAGGUCAGAGAGACAGCAGGCUGUGCCCAGGAACCAGGCAUGCACCUCAGGCUUUCCAGGAGGGGAGACCUGGGCUCAGUAUCCACCUGGAAGAUGCCAACAGGGCGGGUGAAAGUGAGCUGGAGGUGAGGCAGGGCCCCAACUGGGGCCGAGGUGGCAGGAGGGGGACCCGGAGACCGACCAGCAGCUACUGUGGAGGCUGGGUGACAACUACCUCGAGGGCCGAGGAAUCAGGAGAACACGAGUGUCCAUCUCCAAGACUCCAGAGGUAAGAAAGGGCUACACUGUGUGCCCGGAAUUGCUCGUGUUGCAUCUUCCAGGAAAAAAGUUCGUUUGCGUCGAGGUUCAGUGGGCUGAGCCUCACCCCUCUGGGGCCCCCUCAGGACCCCGUCUGACUCUCACACCAGGUUUGGUGGCUGGCAGUGCUGCUCCCAUUUAGACCGAUAAGGAUACUGGGGCUCUGACGUGCUCCAGCCCAGGUCCCCGGCCCACGUGCAAGACACCCGCUGCCUCCCAGGUGAAGGUGGUGACCACCCAGGUGCAGGGUGCUGAUGGGACUCCGAGAACUAAGCCACUGGCAGGGGGGUGGGGGGCUGCAGUGCCUGAGGGCAGCUUCCUGGCUCCAGGGCCCCUUCCUUCAGAAGUCCCUGCCUGAGGCUGUGCUUCAGACUUUUACCAAAGUGAGAAACUUUUAUGCUAGCAGAAUGCUCCAGGAAUUAAGGCUGCCCCUAGCCCUGGCAAGAGCACUCCUAACUUUGUGACGGCACCCUCACCCCUCCUCCCUCUGCUGCAGUGAGGCGGACACUGAAAGCUAUGUAGGAAUUUUCCAGGUAGAGGAGCGAACAUAUGCAUGCCUCUUUUUUUUUCUUUUUUUUGCAGGUGGGAAGACUAUUAUAGGAUGGGUUAAAAAAUAUAUCUUUGGGUAAGGGCCAGGACUAGGGUGAGGCAAGUGAGGCACUCCCCUCGGGCACACAACUUAAGGGUGCACCAAAAAUCUUGAUCAAAAUAAGCAAUAUUUUAAUGUAAUACUUUACUUUUAAAUCAAAAUUAACGAUGAUAAACCAAAUAUUGACAUUUCACAACAGGAUUCCUGGUUGUCUUUUGCUCCAGUCCCCCAGGACUCAGCAGAGCACGGUCUGUCUGUGGCCCCUGCCCCGCCGGCAGGGCCUCUUCCACCCUUACACUCCACUUUAUAUACAAGCUGUUCUUCUUUUCUGUUUUUGCUUACUCUGUUAACGGUUGGUCUCUUUUUCCCCAAUGUGAAAAAUGUCGGGAU